AUUCAAAUAGCUUAUUUUUAGAGCGUUGCACUGAAGAUGCUGAGGAGAUUAUUAAAUCUUUGAAUA
RNAcentral lists this transfer RNA (66 nucleotides) under Hemipenthes neimengguensis. RNAcentral describes it as "tRNA-Phe". It matches the Rfam family "tRNA". Rfam says of the family: Transfer RNA (tRNA) molecules are approximately 80 nucleotides in length. Their secondary structure includes four short double-helical elements and three loops (D, anti-codon, and T loops). Lineage: Eukaryota; Metazoa; Arthropoda; Insecta; Diptera; Bombyliidae. The record is from RNAcentral.